Molecule: ribosomal RNA, 251 nt
Filed under: uncultured prokaryote
Description: partial 16S rRNA
Rfam family: Bacterial small subunit ribosomal RNA
Source: RNAcentral
ACGGAGGGUGCAAGCGUUACUCGGAAUUACUGGGCGUAAAGCGCACGCAGGCGGUUUGUUAAGUCAAGGGUGAAAUCCCCAGGCUCAACCUGGGAACUGCACUUGAUACUGGCAAGCUUGAGUCUAGUAAAGGGGAGUGGAAUUCCAGGUGGAGCGGUGAAAUGCAUAGAGAUCUGGAGGAAUACCGGUGGCGAAGGCGGCCCCCUGGACGAGGACUGACGCUCAGGUGCGAAAGCGUGGGGAGCAAACAG